Molecule: transfer RNA, 76 nt
Filed under: Verticillium dahliae VdLs.17
Lineage: Eukaryota; Fungi; Ascomycota; Sordariomycetes; Glomerellales; Plectosphaerellaceae
Also listed under: 1 other name
Description: tRNA-Val (GAC) (tRNA-Val-GAC-1-1)
Rfam family: tRNA
About the family: Transfer RNA (tRNA) molecules are approximately 80 nucleotides in length.
Source: RNAcentral
CCCGAGGUGGUGUAAUUGGUUCAGCAUUCCAACCUUGACGAGGGGAGGGAUCCGGGUUCGAAUCCCGGCCUCGGGG